UGGGGAAUAUUGCACAAUGGGGGAAACCCUGAUGCUGCAACGCCGCGUGAGUGAUGAAGGUCUUCGGAUCGUAAAGCUCUGUCUUCAGGGACGAUAAUGACGGUACCUGAGGAGGAAGCCACGGCUAACUACGUG
RNAcentral lists this ribosomal RNA (135 nucleotides) under uncultured bacterium. RNAcentral's name for it is "partial 16S ribosomal RNA". It matches the Rfam family "Bacterial small subunit ribosomal RNA", at positions 355 to 507 of the family's 1533-position model. The record is from RNAcentral.